UACGGGGGGGGCAAGCGUUGUUCGGAAUUACUGGGCGUAAAGGGCUCGUAGGUGGCCAACUAAGUCAGACGUGAAAUCCCCAGGCUCAACUUGGGAACUGCGUCUGAUACUGGAUGGCUUGAAUUCGGGAGAGGGAUGCAGAAUUCCAGGUGUAGCGGUGAAAUGCGUAGAUAUCUGGAGGAAUACCGGUGGCGAAGGCGGCAUCCUGGACCGAGAUUGACACUGAGGCACGAAAGCUAGGGGAGCAAACGGG
Molecule: ribosomal RNA, 253 nt
Filed under: uncultured bacterium
Lineage: Bacteria
Description: partial 16S ribosomal RNA
Rfam family: Bacterial small subunit ribosomal RNA
Source: RNAcentral